AAUGAACGCUGGCGGCGCGCCUAAUACAUGCAAGUCGAGCGAGAAGACGUAGCAAUACGUUUGUAAAGCGGCGAACGGGUGAGGAAUACAUGGGUAACCUACCCUCGAGUGGGGAAUAACUAGCCGAAAGGUUAGCUAAUACCGCGUACGCUCCUUGGACUUCGGUUCAGGGAGGAAAGCGAUACCGUGGGUAUCGCGCUCUUGGUUGGGCUCAUGUCCUAUCAGCUUGUUGGUGAGGAACGGCUCACCAAGGCUUCGACGGGUAGCUGGUCUGAGAGGACGAUCAGCCACACUGGCACUGCGACACGGGCCAGACUCCUACGGGAGGCAGCAGUAAGGAAUAUUGCGCAAUGGGCGAAAGCCUGACGCAGCGACGCCG
Molecule: ribosomal RNA, 379 nt
Filed under: uncultured bacterium
Lineage: Bacteria
Description: bacterial SSU rRNA
Rfam family: Bacterial small subunit ribosomal RNA
Source: RNAcentral